This 31-nucleotide ribosomal RNA is filed under the name Artomyces pyxidatus. RNAcentral describes it as "partial large subunit ribosomal RNA". Lineage: Eukaryota; Fungi; Basidiomycota; Agaricomycetes; Russulales; Auriscalpiaceae. The record is from RNAcentral. RNAcentral also lists the same sequence under 1 other name.
ACUUGACCUCAAAUCAGGCGGGACUACCCGC